UACUGGGCGUAAAGCGUGCGCAGGCGGUUCGCUAAGACCGAUGUGAAAUCCCCGGGCUCAACCUGGGAACUGCAUUGGUGACUGGCGGGCUAGAGUAUGGCAGAGGGGGGUAGAAUUCCACGUGUAGCAGUGAAAUGCGUAGAGAUGUGGAGGAAUACCGAUGGCGAAGGCAGCCCCCUGGGCCAAUACUGACGCUCAUGCACGAAAGCGUGGGGAGCAAACAGGAUUAGAUACCCUGGUAGUCCACGCCCUAAACGAUGUCAACUAGUUGUUGGGGAUUCAUUUCCUUAGUAACGUAGCUAACGCGUGAAGUUGACCGCCUGGGGAGUACGGUCGCAAGAUUAAAACUCAAAGGAAUUGACGGGGACCCGCACAAGCGGUGGAUGAUGUGGAUUAAUUCGAUGCAACGCGAAAAACCUUACCUACCCUUGACAUGGUCGGAAUCCUGAAGAGAUUCGGGAGUGCUCGAAAGAGAACCGGCGCACAGGUGCUGCAUGGCUGUCGUCAGCU
RNAcentral lists this ribosomal RNA (510 nucleotides) under uncultured Burkholderia sp. RNAcentral describes it as "bacterial SSU rRNA". It matches the Rfam family "Bacterial small subunit ribosomal RNA", at positions 552 to 1060 of the family's 1533-position model. The record is from RNAcentral. Lineage: Bacteria; Pseudomonadati; Pseudomonadota; Betaproteobacteria; Burkholderiales; Burkholderiaceae.